Molecule: unclassified non-coding RNA, 365 nt
Filed under: uncultured bacterium
Lineage: Bacteria
Description: contains 16S-23S intergenic spacer region
Source: RNAcentral
UCCGAGUUGACCCCGGCAGUCUGGCAUGAGUGGUACAACAUGCCACGGGGGUUGCGCUCGUUGCGGGACUUAACCCAACAUCUCACGACACGAGCUGACGACAGCCAUGCAACACCUGCACACCGAUCCCUUGCGGGAGGACGACGUUUCCGCCGUUUUCCGGUGCAUGUCAAGCCCUGGUAAGGUUUUUCGCGUACCGACGAAUUAAACCACAUGCUCCGCUGCUUGUGCGGGCCCCCGUCAAUACCUUUGAGUUUUAGCCUUGCGGCCGUACUCCCCAGGCGGGGUGCUUAAUGCGUUAGCUUCGGCACGGAUGGAGUCGACACCACCCACACCUAGCACCCAUCGUUUACGGCGUGGACUAC